AAGCAAAUAGCUUACAUUAAAGCACUGCACUGAAGAUGCAGCGACAGGCUCCGCCUUUUGCUUA
RNAcentral lists this transfer RNA (64 nucleotides) under Auriculastra duplicata. Its description in RNAcentral is "tRNA-Phe". The record is from RNAcentral. Lineage: Eukaryota; Metazoa; Mollusca; Gastropoda; Ellobiida; Ellobiidae.